Molecule: ribosomal RNA, 497 nt
Filed under: uncultured bacterium
Lineage: Bacteria
Description: partial 16S ribosomal RNA
Rfam family: Bacterial small subunit ribosomal RNA
Source: RNAcentral
GAUGAACGCUGGCGGCGUGCCUAAUACAUGCAAGUCGAGCGAACGGACGAGAAGCUUGCUUCUCUGAUGUUAGCGGCGGACGGGUGAGUAACACGUGGAUAACCUACUUAUAAGACUGGGAUAACUUCGGGAAACCGCAGCUAAUACCGGAUAAUAUUUUGAACCGCAUGGAUCAAAAGUGAAGGACACUCUUGCUGUCUCUUUUAGAUGGUUCCGCGCUGCAUUAGCUAGUUGGUAAGGUAACGGCUUACCAAGGCAACGAUGCAUAGCUGACCUGAGAGGCUGAUCGGCCACACUGGAACUGAGACACGGUCCAGACUCCUACGGGAGGCAGCAGUAGGGAAUCUUCCGCAAUGGGCGAAAGCCUGACGGAGCAACGCCGCGUGAGUGAUGAAGGUCUUCGGAUCGUAAAACUCUGUUAUUGGGGAAGAACAUAAGUGUAAGUAACUGUGCACAUCUUGACGGUACCUAAUCAGAAAGCCACGGCUAACUUCGUG